UACGUAGGGUGCAAGCGUUGUCCGGAAUUACUGGGCGUAAAGAGCUCGUAGGUGGUUUGUCGCGUUGUUCGUGAAAACUCACAGCUCAACUGUGGGCGUGCGGGCGAUACGGGCAGACUGGAGUACUGCAGGGGAGACUGGAAUUCCUGGUGUAGCGGUGGAAUGCGCAGAUAUCAGGAGGAACACCGGUGGCGAAGGCGGGUCUCUGGGCAACAACUGACGCUGAGGAGCGAAAGCGUGGGGAGCGAACAGG
RNAcentral lists this ribosomal RNA (253 nucleotides) under uncultured bacterium. RNAcentral's name for it is "partial 16S ribosomal RNA". It matches the Rfam family "Bacterial small subunit ribosomal RNA", at positions 524 to 776 of the family's 1533-position model. The record is from RNAcentral.